RNAcentral lists this ribosomal RNA (515 nucleotides) under uncultured bacterium. RNAcentral's name for it is "partial 16S ribosomal RNA". It matches the Rfam family "Bacterial small subunit ribosomal RNA", at positions 28 to 523 of the family's 1533-position model. The record is from RNAcentral.
GACGAACGCUGGCGGCGUGCCUAAUACAUGCAAGUCGAGCGGACUUUCAAGAAGCUUGCUUUUUGAAAGUUAGCGGCGGACGGGUGAGUAACACGUGGGCAACCUGCCUGUAAGACGGGGAUAACUCCGGGAAUCCGGGGCUAAUACCGGAUAAUAUCUUUCUUCGCAUGAAGGAAGGUUGAAAGGCGGCGCAAGCUGCCGCUUGCAGAUGGGCCCGCGGCGCAUUAGCUAGUUGGUGAGGUAACGGCUCACCAAGGCGACGAUGCGUAGCCGAGCGGAGAGGGUGGUCGGCCACACUGGGACUGAGACACGGCCCAGACUCCUACGGGAGGCAGCAGUAGGGAAUCUUCCGCAAUGGACGAAAGUCUGACGGAGCAACGCCGCGUGAGCGAAGAAGGUCUUCGGAUCGUAAAGCUCUGCUGUCAGGGAAGAACAAGUACCGUUCGAAUAGGGCGGUACCUUGACGGUACCUGACCAGAAAGCCACGGCUAACUACGUGCCAGCCGCCGCAGUAA